RNAcentral lists this ribosomal RNA (510 nucleotides) under uncultured bacterium. Its description in RNAcentral is "partial 16S ribosomal RNA". It matches the Rfam family "Bacterial small subunit ribosomal RNA", at positions 28 to 507 of the family's 1533-position model. The record is from RNAcentral.
GACGAACGCUGGCGGCGUGCUUAACACAUGCAAGUCGAACGAAGAGCGAUGGACGCUUGCUUCUAUCAAUCUUAGUGGCGAACGGGUGAGUAACGCGUAAUCAACCUGCCCUUCAGAGGGGGACAACAGUUGGAAACGACUGCUAAUACCGCAUACGAUCUAAUCUCGGCAUCGAGGAUAGAUGAAAGGUGGCCCCUACAUGUAAGCUAUCACUGAAGGAGGGGAUUGCGUCUGAUUAGCUAGUUGGAGGGGUAACGGCCCACCAAGGCGAUGAUCAGUAGCCGGUCUGAGAGGAUGAACGGCCACAUUGGGACUGAGACACGGCCCAGACUCCUACGGGAGGCAGCAGUGGGGAAUCUUCCGCAAUGGACGAAAGUCUGACGGAGCAACGCCGCGUGAGUGAUGACGGCCUUCGGGUUGUAAAGCUCUGUUAAUCGGGACGAAAGGCCUUCUUGCGAAUAGUGAGAAGGAUUGACGGUACCGGAAGAGAAAGCCAUGGCUAACUACGUG